RNAcentral lists this transfer RNA (73 nucleotides) under Bos taurus (domestic cattle). It matches the Rfam family "tRNA". From Rfam's summary of the family: Transfer RNA (tRNA) molecules are approximately 80 nucleotides in length. Their secondary structure includes four short double-helical elements and three loops (D, anti-codon, and T loops). Further hydrogen bonds mediate the characteristic L-shaped molecular structure. tRNAs have two regions of fundamental functional importance: the anti-codon, which is responsible for specific mRNA codon recognition, and the 3' end, to which the tRNAs corresponding amino acid is attached (by aminoacyl-tRNA synthetases). tRNAs cope with the degeneracy of the genetic code in two manners: having more than one tRNA (with a specific anti-codon) for a particular amino acid; and 'wobble' base-pairing, i.e. permitting non-standard base-pairing at the 3rd anti-codon position. The record is from Rfam by way of RNAcentral. Lineage: Eukaryota; Metazoa; Chordata; Mammalia; Artiodactyla; Bovidae. RNAcentral also lists the same sequence under 3 other names.
UCCCUGGCCGUCUAGUGGUUAAGACUCUGCACUGUCAAUGCUGGGGCCACAGGUUUGAUCCCUGGCUGGGGAA